AUGAUGGGGUUGGGGCUGGGCGACCCGCCGGCGGAUUACGGCUCCAUCAUGGCGGUGGGGUUGUUCGUCGCGCUCAUGUGCAUCUGCAUCAUCGUCGGCCACCUCCUCGAGGAGAAUCGCUGGAUGAACGAGUCCACCACCGCGCUCUUGCUUGGGCUGGGCGCUGGCACGGUCAUCCUCUUCGCGUCCAGCGGGAAAAACUCGCGCUUAAUGGUCUUCAGCGAGGAUUUGUUCUUCAUCUAUCUGCUCCCACCCAUCAUUUUCAAUGCAGGGUUCCAAGUGAAGAAGAAACAAUUCUUCCGCAACUUCAUGACUAUUACAUUGUUUGCUGUAGUUGGGACCUUGAUCUCCUUCAGUAUAAUAUCCCUUGGUGCGAUGGGGCUAAUAUCAAGGCUGAACAUAGGCUCCCUUGAGCUUGGAGAUUACCUCGCACUUGGGGCAAUAUUCUCGGCAACGGACUCUGUUUGCACCUUGCAGGUGUUAAGCCAAGAUGAGACACCCUUCUUGUACAGUUUGGUGUUUGGUGAAGGUGUUGUUAAUGAUGCGACAUCAGUUGUGUUGUUCAAUGCAAUCCAGAACUUUGAUCUUGGAAAUUUCAGUAGCCUCAAAUUCUUACAGUUCAUUGGAAAUUUCCUCUAUCUAUUCGGCGCCAGCACCUUUCUUGGAGUAGCUAGUGGACUUCUCAGUGCUUAUGUCAUCAAGAAACUGUACUUUGGCAGGCACUCCACUGAUCGUGAAGUUGCUAUUAUGAUGCUCAUGGCUUAUUUAUCUUACAUGUUGGCUGAAUUGCUUGAUUUGAGUGGUAUUCUCACGGUUUUCUUCUGUGGUAUUGUAAUGUCACACUAUACCUGGCACAACGUAACAGAGAGUUCCAGGGUCACAACCAAGCAUGCCUUCGCCACGUUGUCAUUCAUCUCUGAGACGUUUCUCUUUCUCUAUGUUGGCAUGGAUGCAUUGGAUAUAGAGAAGUGGAAGAUUGUUAGUGAAACAUAUAGCCCAAUGAAAUCUAUUGCCUUGAGCUCCAUUAUUUUGGCAUUGGUACUGGUUGCAAGAGCUGCAUUUGUUUUCCCACUAUCUUAUCUCUCCAAUUUGACCAAAGAAACUCCAGGGGAGAAGAUCUCUAUUAGGCAGCAAGUUAUUAUUUGGUGGGCGGGUCUCAUGAGAGGUGCCGUGUCAAUUGCAUUGGCCUACAAUAAGUUUGCAAAAUCAGGGCACACUCAGCUCCCUAGCAAUGCUAUCAUGAUCACCAGUACAAUAAUUAUUGUUCUUUUCAGCACAAUUGUCUUUGGGCUACUGACUAAGCCAUUGAUCAGACUCCUGAUUCCAGCGAGGCACCUCACUAGGGAAGUGAGUGCCCUUUCUGAGCCAUCCAGCCCAAAGUCCUUCCUUGAACAGCUGCCCGGGAAUGGGCCUGAGACGGAUCUCGAGAACGCUGUGAGCAUACGCCGCCCGACGAGCCUCCGGAUGCUCCUGGCGAGUCCAACACGGUCAGUCCACCACUACUGGCGCAAGUUUGACAACGCCUUCAUGCGGCCGGUGUUCGGAGGUCGAGGCUUCGUCCCAUUUGUCCCUGGAUCUCCCACCGAAAGCAGUGUACCAUUACUAGCCCAUGGAAGUGAGAACUAG
RNAcentral lists this ribosomal RNA (1626 nucleotides) under Triticum aestivum (bread wheat). Its description in RNAcentral is "partial small subunit ribosomal RNA". The record is from RNAcentral. Lineage: Eukaryota; Viridiplantae; Streptophyta; Magnoliopsida; Poales; Poaceae.